Molecule: ribosomal RNA, 315 nt
Filed under: uncultured eukaryote
Lineage: Eukaryota
Description: partial 18S ribosomal RNA
Rfam family: Eukaryotic small subunit ribosomal RNA
Source: RNAcentral
CCCUUAGACGUUCUGGGCCGCACGCGCGCUACACUGACCAGUGCAACAAGCAUCCGUCCUUGGCCGACAGGCUCGGGCAAUCUUUGAACGCUGGUCGUGAUGGGGAUAGACUUUUGCAAUUUUUGGUCUUCAACGAGGAAUUCCUAGUAAACGCAAGUCAUCAACUUGCAUUGAUUACGUCCCUGCCCUUUGUACACACCGCCCGUCGCACCUACCGAUUGAAUGGUCCGGUGAAGCCUCCGGAUUGGCGCGCACCUCGGUGCCGCCGAGAAGUUGGCUAAACCUUACCAUUUAGAGGAGGGUGAAGUCGUAACA